UGCUCUGGGGCCCUAAACCACUGCAGGCA
This 29-nucleotide non-coding RNA is filed under the name Homo sapiens (human). Lineage: Eukaryota; Metazoa; Chordata; Mammalia; Primates; Hominidae. The record is from RNAcentral.